This 303-nucleotide ribosomal RNA is filed under the name Triticum aestivum (bread wheat). RNAcentral's name for it is "partial small subunit ribosomal RNA". The record is from RNAcentral. Lineage: Eukaryota; Viridiplantae; Streptophyta; Magnoliopsida; Poales; Poaceae.
CAGGGGAAAAACAAAAGAAAGUGGACAACAAUGGAGGACGAUGAACUAGUCAAUGCACUCUAUGAGCUGUCAUUGGAUCCAUGGUGGAAAGGUGAUAAUGGUUUCAAGAAUGGGUAUUCAUCAAUGCUGGAAAGUAGGUUGGCUGAAAAGGUAUCUGGUUGUGGUCUUAGUGCUACUCCACACAUUGAGUCAAGGGUGAGAUACUUUAGGACCAAAUAUGGAGCAAUUGAAGUUAUGCUUAAAAGAAGUGGGUUUUCUUGGGAUGAGAAUAGGAAAAUGAUCCAGUGUGAGAAGCAAUCGUAG